AUGGACUUAAGGCUCAUAUUGGUUUCCUUUUUUCUUAUUUUAAAAGGUGUCCAGUGUGAGGUGCAAUUGCUGGAGUCUGGGGGAGGCUUAGUGCAGCCUGGAAAGACCCUGAAACUCUCUUGUGCAGCCUCUGGAUUCUCCUUCAGUGGCUCCUGGAUGAACUGGGUCCGCCAGGCUCCAGGGAAGGGGCUAGAGUGGGUCGCAUACAUUAGUAAUGAUGGCAGUAGCACCUCCUAUGCUGACGCUGUGAAGGGCUGGUUCACAAUCUCCAGAGACAAUGCCAAGAACACUCUGUACCUGGAAAUGAGCAGUCUGAAGUCUGAGGACACAGCCAUGUAUUACUGUGCAACAGACACAAUGAGUGAAUGUUACUGUGAGCUCAGACAAAAACACCUCUCUGGGGAACACGGGACCAGCAGGAGGCGCUGA
Non-coding RNA from Microtus ochrogaster (prairie vole), 429 nucleotides. NCBI's taxonomy places the organism in Eukaryota, Metazoa, Chordata, Mammalia, Rodentia, Cricetidae. The record is from the annotation of a RefSeq genome assembly.